This 270-nucleotide ribosomal RNA is filed under the name uncultured bacterium. RNAcentral's name for it is "partial 16S ribosomal RNA". It matches the Rfam family "Bacterial small subunit ribosomal RNA", at positions 29 to 324 of the family's 1533-position model. The record is from RNAcentral.
AACGAACGCUGGCGGCAGGCCUCAAACAUGCAAGUCUAGGGGGUGUAGCAAUACAUCACCGGCGGACGGGUGCGUAACGCGUGGGAAUAUACCUAUUGGUUCGGAACAACUGAGGGAAACUUCAGCUAAUACCGGAUACGUCCUAACGGAGAAAGAUUUAUCGCCAAUAGAUUAGCCCGCGUUCGAUUAGCUAGUUGGUGGGGUAACGGCCCACCAAGGCGACGAUCGAUAGCUGUUCUGAGAGGAAGAUCAGCCACACUGGGACUGAGA